AUGAUGUUGCAGAUCACAAGUCUGCUGGCAUUGACUCCACUGUUUGUCUGUUGUUUUUGUAUCUGCCCAGUCAAAAUCCACUUCCUGGCUGCUGGAGUUACCCUGGGAGCUGACAGGAUGUUCAAGGAGAAACUGGUAAAGCAGAUGAACUUUAAAGAGAGCCCCCUGCAGAAGUGUGACGCCAUCGUGACUUUCUGUCCUGUCAGCUCUCGGAUAGGGACUGAUAUUGACCACGCCCUCCAGAUGAUUCCAGGGGACAAGCCCGCCGCCCUGGUGGUGAUGCACCACACCUACAACCCCGAGGCAGUUGUGGCUGAGAGCAGCAGACUGGUGACCAGGAGAGACACUGUGACUGUGGACUGUCUGUUCCAUGAGACAGUCGGGCUGCUGGACAACUGUCCCAUCAAUGAGCAGGCUGUGAGACGGGUCUCUGAUAGAUUAAAGAAGUUUGUUGAGUAAAAAAAAUAAAUAAAUACUGCUCCACUGAGUGCAGCCUUUCACAAAGAAAAUUAUCCUUUAACAGUAGAUUAAUAAAAAAGCGUGAUGGUGAGGUAAUAUUCUUGAAUAUUAUGAACAAAAUGCCAAGAGUUUCAGUAGAGGUCAGGGACAGUUCAAAACAGACUUUCUGAAGGAUGAAGGAUAAAGGUAUUAAAACUGAAUGUAUAAAAUCUUUUGACUGCUGAACAGUCUGCUUGCGGUUUUAUAAAAUAUCCCUUGAUCAGCGACGUGCAGUGUUUUAUUUUCGUAACUGACGGUGCCAUGUACCCGUUACCCGGAAACUCUUAAAGACUUAC
RNAcentral lists this long non-coding RNA (794 nucleotides) under Lepisosteus oculatus (spotted gar). RNAcentral's name for it is "lncRNA (ENSLOCG00000021457.1)". Lineage: Eukaryota; Metazoa; Chordata; Actinopteri; Semionotiformes; Lepisosteidae. The record is from RNAcentral.